GAUGAACGCUGGCGGCGUGCUUAACACAUGCAAGUCGAACGGAAAGGCCCAAGCUUGCUUGGGUACUCGAGUGGCGAACGGGUGAGUAACACGUGGGUGAUCUGCCCUGCACUUCGGGAUAAGCCUGGGAAACUGGGUCUAAUACCGGAUAGGACCACAUUUUGGAUGGUGUGGUGGAAAGUUUUUCGGUGUGGGAUGAGCUCGCGGCCUAUCAGCUUGUUGGUGGGGUAAUGGCCUACCAAGGCGUCGACGGGUAGCCGGCCUGAGAGGGUGUACGGCCACAUUGGGACUGAGAUACGGCCCAGGCUCCUACGGGAGGCAGCAGUGGGGAAUAUUGCACAAUGGGCGCAAGCCUGAUGCAGCGACGCCGCGUGGGGGAUGACGGCCUUCGGGUUGUAAACUCCUUUCGCUAGGGACGAAGCGCAAGUGACGGUACCUGGAGAAGAAGCACCGGCUAACUACGUG
RNAcentral lists this ribosomal RNA (465 nucleotides) under uncultured bacterium. RNAcentral describes it as "partial 16S ribosomal RNA". It matches the Rfam family "Bacterial small subunit ribosomal RNA", at positions 28 to 507 of the family's 1533-position model. The record is from RNAcentral.